This 696-nucleotide ribosomal RNA is filed under the name uncultured Pseudomonadota bacterium. Its description in RNAcentral is "bacterial SSU rRNA". It matches the Rfam family "Bacterial small subunit ribosomal RNA", at positions 57 to 726 of the family's 1533-position model. Lineage: Bacteria; Pseudomonadati; Pseudomonadota. The record is from RNAcentral.
GCAGUCGUACGAGAAAUCCCGAGCUUGCUUGGGAGAGUAAAGUGGCGCACGGGUGAGUAACGCGUGGGUAACCUACCUUCGAAUCUGGGAUAACUCCGCGAAAGCGGUGCUAAUACCGGAUAAGACCACGGCCGUUUCGGCGGCAGAGGUAAAAGCUGACCUCUCCAUGGAAGUUAGCGUUCGAGGACGGGCCCGCGUCCUAUCAGCUUGUUGGUGGGGUAAAGGCCUACCAAGGCAGCGACGGGUAGCUGGUCUGAGAGGAUGAUCAGCCACACUGGAACUGGAACACGGUCCAGACUCCUACGGGAGGCAGCAGUGAGGAAUUUUGCGCAAUGGGGGAAACCCUGACGCAGCAACGCCGCGUGGGUGAAGAAGGCUUUCGGGUCGUAAAGCCCUGUCAGGUGGGAAGAAACUCUUCAGUACUAAUAAUGCUGAAGCCUGACGGUACCACCAGAGGAAGCACCGGCCAACUCCGUGCCAGCAGCCGCGGUAAUACGGAGGGUGCAAGCGUUGUUCGGAAUCAUUGGGCGUAAAGAGCGUGUAGGCGGCUUGGUAAGUCAGAUGUGAAAGCCCUGGGCUCAACCCAGGAAGUGCAUUUGAAACUACCAGACUUGAGUACGGGAGAGGAGGGGGGAAUUCCCGGUGUAGAGGUGAAAUUCGUAGAUAUCGGGAGGAAUACCGGUGGCGAAGGCGCCC